AGAGUUUGAUCAUGGCUCAGAUUGAACGCUGGCGGCAGGCUUAACACAUGCUAAUACCGCAUACGAUCUACGGAUGAAAGCAGGGGACCGCAAGGCCUUGCGCGAACGGAGCGGCCGAUGGCAGAUUAGGUAGUUGGUGGGAUAAAAGCUUACCAAGCCGACGAUCUGUAGCUGGUCUGAGAGGACGACCAGCCACACUGGGACUGAGACACGGCCCAGACUCCUACGGGAGGCAGCAGUGGGGAAUUUUGGACAAUGGGCGAAAGCCUGAUCCAGCCAUGCCGCGUGCAGGAUGAAGGCCUUCGGGUUGUAAACUGCUUUUGUACGGAACGAAAAGACUCUGGUUAAUACCUGGGGUCCAUGACGGUACCGUAAGAAUAAGCACCGGCUAACUACGUGCCAGCAGCCGCGGUAAUACGUAGGGUGCAAGCGUUAAUCGGAAUUACUGGGCGUAAAGCGCACGCAGGCGGUCUGUCAAGUCGGAUGUGAAAUCCCCGGGCUCAACCUGGGAACUGCAUUCGAAACUGGCAGGCUAGAGUCUUGUAGAGGGGGGUAGAAUUCCAGGUGUAGCGGUGAAAUGCGUAGAGAUCUGGAGGAAUACCGGUGGCGAAGGCGGCCCCCUGGACAAAGACUGACGCUCAGGUGCGAAAGCGUGGGGAGCAAACAGGAUUAGAUACCCUGUAGUCCACGC
This 691-nucleotide ribosomal RNA is filed under the name uncultured bacterium. RNAcentral's name for it is "bacterial SSU rRNA". It matches the Rfam family "Bacterial small subunit ribosomal RNA", at positions 8 to 800 of the family's 1533-position model. The record is from RNAcentral.